AACUGCUGCCAUCAUUUCCCGAUUGCCUAGCGUUUUCAUCUCUUUGUCCACAGGCCUGCUUUAAGUCUGAUCAGUUCUGCGAGGAAGAAAAUAGGGAUCGAGGAGACUGUCUCAAGAUCUCUGGAGGUUGGUGAGAAUCGUGGGCAGUAGAGGACCCAGACCUGCUUAAAGUCUGGUCAGCUCUGUUAGAAAGAGAACAGUCAUCGAGGAGUCUGUCUCGGAUCUCUGGAGAUCUGCUUAAAGUCCGGUCAGCUCUGCAAGAAAGAGAAAAGCAUUGAAGAGAGCGUCUCAAGAUCUCUGGAGGUUGACCUGCUUAAAGUCUUGUCAGCUCUGUUAGAAAGA
Long non-coding RNA from Microtus oregoni (creeping vole), 342 nucleotides. RefSeq lists it as uncharacterized. The transcript is spliced from 4 exons. Lineage: Eukaryota; Metazoa; Chordata; Mammalia; Rodentia; Cricetidae. The record is from RefSeq and is a predicted model, not a curated record.